AAAUGUAUUCUUUGGUUUUAAUGCAGAUUCAGAAACAAUUCGGCUUCCGUAUGAAGAAGGAGAAUUGCUUGAAUAUUUGGAUGCCGAAGAACUUCCGCCUAUUUUAGUUGACCUUCUGGAAAAAUCCCAGAUCAACAUUUUUCAUUGUGGAUGUGUCAUAACAGAAAUACGUGACUAUAGACAGUCUGGUAAUCUGAAAUCUCCAGCAUACCAAAGCAAGCACAUUCUUUUACGCCCAACCAUGCAAACUUUGGUUUGUGAUGUUCAUUCCAUUACAAGU
Molecule: long non-coding RNA, 280 nt
Organism: Sceloporus undulatus (fence lizard)
Lineage: Eukaryota; Metazoa; Chordata; Lepidosauria; Squamata; Phrynosomatidae
Exons: 3
Source: RefSeq, a predicted model, not a curated record